RNAcentral lists this ribosomal RNA (486 nucleotides) under uncultured Propionibacterium sp. Its description in RNAcentral is "bacterial SSU rRNA". It matches the Rfam family "Bacterial small subunit ribosomal RNA", at positions 1 to 507 of the family's 1533-position model. Lineage: Bacteria; Bacillati; Actinomycetota; Actinomycetes; Propionibacteriales; Propionibacteriaceae. The record is from RNAcentral.
AGAGGUUUGUAGUCCUGGCUCAGGACGAACGCUGGCGGCGUGCUUAACACAUGCAAGUCGACGAAGGCCCUGCUUUGUGGGGUGCUCGAGUGGCGAACGGGUGAGUAACACGUGAGUAACCUGCCCUUGACUUUGGGAUAACUUCAGGGAAACUGGGGCUAAUACCGGAUAGGAGCUCCUGCUGCAUGGUGGGGUUGGAAAGUUUCGGCGGUUGGGGAUGGACUCGCGGCUUAUCAGCUUGUUGUGGGGUAGUGGCUUACCAAGGCUUUGACGGGUAGCCGGCCUGAGAGGGUGACCGGCCACAUUGGGACUGAGGUACGGCCCAGACUCCUACGGGAGGCAGCAGUGGGGAAUAUUGCACAAUGGGCGGAAGCCUGAUGCAGCAACGCCGCGUGCGGGAUGACGGCCUUCGGGUUGUAAACCGCUUUCGCCUGUGACGAAGCGUGAGUGACGGUAAUGGGUAAAGAAGCACCGGCUAACUACGUG